RNAcentral lists this ribosomal RNA (437 nucleotides) under uncultured bacterium. RNAcentral describes it as "bacterial SSU rRNA". It matches the Rfam family "Bacterial small subunit ribosomal RNA", at positions 954 to 1392 of the family's 1533-position model. The record is from RNAcentral.
GCUUAACGCGAAGAACCUUACCUGGGUUUGACAUUCUGGGAAAAGCCGUAGAGAUACGGUGUCCGAAAGGGUCCAGAACAGGUGGUGCAUGGCUGUCGUCAGCUCGUGUCGUGAGAUGUUGGGUUAAGUCCCGCAACGAGCGCAACCCUUGUCCUAUGUUGCCAGCACGUAAUGGUGGGGACUCGUAGGAGACUGCCGGGGUCAACUCGGAGGAAGAUGGGGACGACGUCAAGUCAUCAUGCCCCUUAUGUCCAGGGCUGCAAACAUGCUACAAUGGCCGGUACAAAGGGCUGCUAUACCGCGAGGUUGAGCGAAUCCCAAAAAGCCGGUCUCAGUUCGGAUUGGAGUCUGCAACUCGACUCCAUGAAGUCGGAGUCGCUAGUAAUCCCGGAUCAGCAACGCCGGGGUGAAUACGUUCCCGGGUCUUGUACACACCG